This 497-nucleotide ribosomal RNA is filed under the name uncultured bacterium. RNAcentral describes it as "partial 16S ribosomal RNA". It matches the Rfam family "Bacterial small subunit ribosomal RNA", at positions 28 to 507 of the family's 1533-position model. The record is from RNAcentral.
GAUGAACGCUGGCGGCGUGCCUAAUACAUGCAAGUCGAGCGAACAGACGAUGAUCUUGCUCCGCUGACGUUAGCCGCGGACGUGUGAGUCACACGUGUAUCACCUACCUAUAAUACUGGUAUAACUUCGGGACACCGGAUCUAAUACCGUAUAAUAUACUGAACCGUAUGGUGCAAUAGUGAAAGACGGUUUUUCUGUCACGUCUAGCUGCAUCCGCGCCGCAUUAGCUAGUUGGUACGGUAACGGGUUAUCAAGGCAACGAUGCGUAGCCGAGGUGAGAGGGGGAUAGGCCACACUGGAGCUGAGACGCGGUCCAGAGUACUGAGAGAGGCAGCAGUCGGGAACCUUAGGCAGUGGGCGAGAGCAUGACGGAGCAAGGGGGAGUGAGAGAUGACGGUCUUCGGAUCGUAAAGCUCUGUUACUAGGGAAGAACAAAUGUGGCAGUAACUAUGGACGUAGUGACGGUAACUAGUAAGAAAGCAACGGCUAACUACGUG